GAUGAACGCUGGCGGCGUGCUUAACACAUGCAAGUCGAACGAAGCACUUUAACCUGAUUCUUCGGAUGAAGGUUUUUGUGACUGAGUGGCGGACGGGUGAGUAACGCGUGGGUAACCUGCCUCAUACAGGGGGAUAACAGUUAGAAAUGACUGCUAAUACCGCAUAAGACCACGGAGCCGCAUGGCUCAGUGGGAAAAACUCCGGUGGUAUGAGAUGGACCCGCGUCUGAUUAGGUAGUUGGUGGGGUAACGGCCUACCAAGCCAACGAUCAGUAGCCGACCUGAGAGGGUGACCGGCCACAUUGGGACUGAGACACGGCCCAAACUCCUACGGGAGGCAGCAGUGGGGAAUAUUGCACAAUGGGGGAAACCCUGAUGCAGCGACGCCGCGUGAGCGAAGAAGUAUUUCGGUAUGUAAAGCUCUAUCAGCAGGGAAGAAAAUGACGGUACCUGACUAAGAAGCACCGGCUAAAUACGUGCCAGCAGCCGCGGUAAUACGUAUGGUGCAAGCGUUAUCCGGAUUUACUGGGUGUAAAGGGAGCGUAGACGGCUGUGUAAGUCUGAAGUGAAAGCCCGGGGCUCAACCCCGGGACUGCUUUGGAAACUAUGCAGCUAGAGUGUCGGAGAGGUAAGUGGAAUUCCCAGUGUAGCGGUGAAAUGCGUAGAUAUUGGGAGAAACACCAGUGGCGCAGGCGGCUUACUGGACGAUGACUGACGUUGAGGCUCGAAAGCGUGGGGAGCAAACAGGAUUAGAUACCCUGGUAGUCCACGCCGUAAACGAUGAUUACUAGGUGUCGGGGAGCAAAGCUCUUCGGUGCCGCAGCAAACGCAAUAAGUAGUCCACCUGGGGAGUACGUUCGCAAGAAUGAAACUCAAAGGAAUUGACGGGGACCCGCACAAGCGGUGGAGCAUGUGGUUUAAUUCGAAGCAACGCGAAGAACCUUACCUGCUCUUGACAUCCCGGUGACCGGCAUGUAAUGAUGCCUUUUCUUCGGAACACCGGUGACAGGUGGUGCAUGGUUGUCGUCAGCUCGUGUCGUGAGACGUUGGGUUAAGUCCCGCAACGAGCGCAACCCUUAUCUUCAGUAGCCAGCAAUUCGGAUGGGCACUCUGGAGAGACUGCCAGGGAUAACCUAGAGGAAGGUGGGGAGGACGUCAAAUCAUCAUGCCCCUUAUGAGCAGGGCUACACACGUGCUACAAUGGCGUAAACAAAGGGAAGCGAGCCUGCGAGGGUAAGCAAAUCUCAAAAAUAACGUCUCAGUUCGGAUUGUAGUCUGCAACUCGACUACAUGAAGCUGGAAUCGCUAGUAAUCGCGAAUCAGCAUGUCGCGGUGAAUACGUUCCCGGGUCUUGCAC
RNAcentral lists this ribosomal RNA (1357 nucleotides) under uncultured bacterium. Its description in RNAcentral is "16S ribosomal RNA". It matches the Rfam family "Bacterial small subunit ribosomal RNA", at positions 28 to 1386 of the family's 1533-position model. The record is from RNAcentral.